Molecule: ribosomal RNA, 250 nt
Filed under: Nocardiopsis sp.
Lineage: Bacteria; Bacillati; Actinomycetota; Actinomycetes; Streptosporangiales; Nocardiopsidaceae
Description: partial 16S ribosomal RNA
Rfam family: Bacterial small subunit ribosomal RNA
Source: RNAcentral
CCCCCAGGCGGGCGGACAUGUUGCUUAAUUCGACGCAACGCGAAGAACCUUACCAAGGUUUGACAUCACCCGUGGACCUGUAAAGAUACAGGGUCAUUUGGUUGGCGGGUGACAGGUGGUGCAUGGCUGUCGUCAGCUCGUGUCGUGAGAUGUUGGGUUAAGUCCCGCAACGAGCGCAACCCUUGUUCCAUGUUGCCAGCACGAAAUGGUGGGGACUCUUGGGAGACUGCCGGGGUCAACUCUGAGGAAG